CGGCGGACGGGUGAGUAACGCGUGGGUAACCUGCCUCAUACAGGGGGAUAACAGUUAGAAAUGACUGCUAAUACCGCAUAAGACCACGGUACCGCAUGGUACAGUGGUAAAAACUCCGGUGGUAUGAGAUGGACCCGCGUCUGAUUAGGUAGUUGGUGGGGUAACGGCCUACCAAGCCAACGAUCAGUAGCCGACCUGAGAGGGUGACCGGCCACAUUGGGACUGAGACACGGCCCAG
RNAcentral lists this ribosomal RNA (238 nucleotides) under uncultured bacterium. Its description in RNAcentral is "partial 16S ribosomal RNA". It matches the Rfam family "Bacterial small subunit ribosomal RNA", at positions 96 to 334 of the family's 1533-position model. The record is from RNAcentral.